CCCUUAGAUGUUCUGGGCCGCACGCGCGCUACACUGAUGCAUUCAACGAGCCUAUCCUUGACCGACAGGUCCGGGUAAUCUUUGAAUCUGCAUCGUGACGGGGAUAGAUUAUUGCAAUUAUUAAUCUUCAACGAGGAAUGCCUAGUAGGCGCAAGUCAUCAGCUUGCGUCGAUUACGUCCCUGCCCUUUGUACACACCGCCCGUCGCUCCUACCGAUUGGGUGAGCCGAUGAAACUCCCGGAUGUGAGCUCUCGUGAGAUUGCAGAAGGGAUUUGAAUCGUAGCGCUUAGAGGAAGGAGAAGUCGUAACA
RNAcentral lists this ribosomal RNA (310 nucleotides) under uncultured eukaryote. RNAcentral's name for it is "partial 18S ribosomal RNA". It matches the Rfam family "Eukaryotic small subunit ribosomal RNA", at positions 1470 to 1796 of the family's 1831-position model. The record is from RNAcentral.